This 211-nucleotide long non-coding RNA is filed under the name Elaeis guineensis (African oil palm). RNAcentral describes it as "long non-coding RNA (EGUI_LNC082052)". The record is from RNAcentral. Lineage: Eukaryota; Viridiplantae; Streptophyta; Magnoliopsida; Arecales; Arecaceae.
UUCAUGCUAUAUUUAUAUAUUUUAAUUUCUGAUUUAAUACUAUGUAAUAAUCAUGUAAUAGGAUCUUAGAUCUAGGGAUUCUCUAGUUUUAGAAAAUAAAUUUUGAUUUAUUUUAGUCUUCCGCUGUAUGAUCUUGAAAAAGUUUCAAGAUCUAACCCUGAAACUCUAGAUCUGGUUUCUACACCAACACACUUCUGCUAUCAUCAUGGUC